UGUCUGCUAACACAUCUAGUAAGUACCUAGAUAUAUCUGAAGAUAGUUGACUGUUCAGAGUACUCAUAAAGUUCUGAUAUUAUAUCUGAAAACUUUUAUAAAUUUGUCCUCAGGCUAUGACCAAGAAACGGCCUCGCUGUUACUUCUCUUACAUCUCCUUCCACCGCAACCAGGAGGACAGAAGUCUCCAAAAAUCAGUGCAAGUGAUGCAGUUGAGAGACUUGUUGUCUUUCAUAAGUCAUGCUGCAGUUUAGAGGAGCAUCUCCGGGGUCAACAGGGUCUGCAGCCAUACCUCCUUGCUGUUGGGCGUCAGAGAAGCAAGAUUGACAGCUUCUACAUCGUCAUGGAUAAGUGUCUCAUCCCAUGCCAGACAAACGGUUCUCUUGGAGCAUUUGAUGAGCUAUUCAAAGCACAUUUUGUGAACAUUGUCUUUUCUCCUAUUCUCACUAUGGGUAUGACGAUAUAUUUGAAGCAUUUGAUUGUUGAACACCAUAGACUCUUUAAGUUCUUAUAUUCACAUCAAAAUUUGAUACCUAAGCAUCAUUUUAUGAUCCACUAUCCAUCUUCCAUUAGGAAAAUAGGUCCAUUGUUACAUAUGUGGUCUAUGAGGUUUGAGGCUAAACACAAAAUGUUUAUAGAAUAUUUUAAAAACUUUAAAAAUAUAACCAAAUCACUUGCGAAAAAGCAUCAGAUGGCCACAGCUUAUCAUUGGGAAACAAUAAGUAUUAAAGAAAAUGAGCAUGGGCCUCUCAAACCAUUUUCACUUAAAGAUGAAGAUGUGGUCAACAAAGAAAUGCUUCAAAUGAUUUCAUCAGGAGAUGUUUUCUCAACCAGCUGGGUUAGAGUUGAGGGUGUUGAAUACAGACCAGGACUUGCUGUUUGCAGCACAAUUCAAGAUGAGAUGCCAGUGUUUUGUCAGAUAAGUGAUGUACUUUUAGUUGACAAUACCUUUCUUUUGUUAUCUAAACAGCUAUUCACAUAAACAUUUGAUGAUCAUCAUCAUGCUUUCAGGAUUGUUCAAAGUGAAGAAAGGCAUUUAGUAAAGAAAACUUAAAUUUCAUAAGCCUUUUGAUAUUCAAAACUCUUAUGGCGUUUCUAAUGAAUGCUUGUUCAUCGUACCACAAUUUAAAAUGUUGGAAACACAGCUGCAAAAAUAAAGUGUUCAAAAUUGA
Molecule: long non-coding RNA, 1172 nt
Organism: Xiphophorus hellerii (green swordtail)
Lineage: Eukaryota; Metazoa; Chordata; Actinopteri; Cyprinodontiformes; Poeciliidae
Exons: 2
Source: RefSeq, a predicted model, not a curated record